UGAUUAUUGCAGAGACAUAUACAAACAAUUACUGUAACGACCCCAGAAAUCCAAAAUGAAAUAUACAAUAAUUUAAGUAAGGAAGUGAAAUAAAAGAUUAAGGUUUACAUCCCUUAUACAAGAACUUAGAAGUAUUAAACAAACAUUACAGAAUGAAUUCUCUAAAAGAAACACGAGAAAUAAGAAAGUAAUGGGAAAUAUAAACUAUCUAGCAUCUACUCGCAAUCUUCUUGCGGAUCAGGCUCUGGAACCAAGUCCUCCUGAUCUGAAAUGGUUAAAUAAAGGAUGAGUUACACUAGUCUAGUAAGGAUAUCACACUAUAUCACCGGCACAGAAUCAAAUGUUGAUAGAAAAUCAAA
This 359-nucleotide long non-coding RNA is filed under the name Carica papaya (papaya). RNAcentral describes it as "long non-coding RNA (CPAP_LNC008849)". Lineage: Eukaryota; Viridiplantae; Streptophyta; Magnoliopsida; Brassicales; Caricaceae. The record is from RNAcentral.